AAAUGAACAACGCAAAUAACAACGUUCAAGUCUUAUCGUAACGCUGGGCCGAGGUGCCCUUUCGAGGCUGCGCCCAAGACGUCCGGUGACUGAGAGACGGAGAACGGAGACUGAAGCGAACAAUCUUGGGUGCGGUGCCCCUCGGCGACAAGCCAGAUGGGGGGGAUCGCAAUGAUUGAGCGUACAU
Molecule: small RNA, 187 nt
Filed under: Claviceps purpurea 20.1
Lineage: Eukaryota; Fungi; Ascomycota; Sordariomycetes; Hypocreales; Clavicipitaceae
Description: A. fumigatus sRNA Afu_182
Rfam family: A. fumigatus sRNA Afu_182
Source: Rfam by way of RNAcentral